AGCGAACGCUGGCGGCAGGCUUAACACAUGCAAGUCGAGCGGGCAUCCUUGUGGUGUCAGCGGCAGACGGGUGAGUAACGCGUGGGAACGUGCCCUUCGGUUCGGAAUAACUCAGGGAAACUUGAGCUAAUACCGGAUACGUGCGAGAGCAGAAAGGUUUAUCUGCCGAAGGAUCGGCCCGCGUCUGAUUAGCUAGUUGGUGAGGUUACGGCUCACCAAGGCGACGAUCAGUAGCUGGUCUGAGAGGAUGAUCAGCCACACUGGGACUGAGACACGGCCCAGACUCCUACGGGAGGCAGCAGUGGGGAAUAUUGGACAAUGGGGGCAACCCUGAUCCAGCCAUGCCGCGUGAGUGAUGACGGCCGUAGGGUUGUAAAGCUCUUUUCUCCGGGACGAUAAUGACGGUACCGGAGGAAUAAGCCCCGGCUAACUUCGUG
Molecule: ribosomal RNA, 437 nt
Filed under: uncultured bacterium
Lineage: Bacteria
Description: partial 16S ribosomal RNA
Rfam family: Bacterial small subunit ribosomal RNA
Source: RNAcentral